This is a transfer RNA of Trichosporon asahii var. asahii CBS 8904, 95 nucleotides long. It matches the Rfam family "tRNA". Rfam says of the family: Transfer RNA (tRNA) molecules are approximately 80 nucleotides in length. NCBI's taxonomy places the organism in Eukaryota, Fungi, Basidiomycota, Tremellomycetes, Trichosporonales, Trichosporonaceae. The record is from Rfam.
GGCGAGAUGGCCGAGCGGUCUAAGGCGCUGUGUUAAGGUGACUCCAAGUUAUCCUCCGCAGUCUUCGGACGUGGGUUCGAAUCCCACUCUCGUCA